RNAcentral lists this ribosomal RNA (624 nucleotides) under fungal sp. APA-2013. Its description in RNAcentral is "eukaryotic LSU rRNA". The stretch from base 246 to 398 matches the Rfam family "5.8S ribosomal RNA". Lineage: Eukaryota; Fungi. The record is from RNAcentral.
CUUGGGUCAUUUAGAGGAAGUAAAAGUCGUAACAAGGUUUCCGUAGGUGAACCUGCGGAAGGAUCAUUACCGAGUGAGGGCCCUUUGGGUCCAACCUCCCACCCAUGUUUAUUUUACCUUGUUGCUUCGGCGGGCCCGCCUUAACUGGCCGCCGGGGGGCUUACGCCCCCGGGCCCGCGCCCGCCGAAGACACCCUCGAACUCUGUCUGAAGAUUGUAGUCUGAGUGAAAAUAUAAAUUAUUUAAAACUUUCAACAACGGAUCUCUUGGUUCCGGCAUCGAUGAAGAACGCAGCGAAAUGCGAUACGUAAUGUGAAUUGCAAAUUCAGUGAAUCAUCGAGUCUUUGAACGCACAUUGCGCCCCCUGGUAUUCCGGGGGGCAUGCCUGUCCGAGCGUCAUUGCUGCCCUCAAGCCCGGCUUGUGUGUUGGGCCCCGUCCUCCGAUUCCGGGGGACGGGCCCGAAAGGCAGCGGCGGCACCGCGUCCGGUCCUCGAGCGUAUGGGGCUUUGUCACCCGCUCUGUAGGCCCGGCCGGCGCUUGCCGAUCAACCCAAAUUUUUAUCCAGGUUGACCUCGGAUCAGGUAGGGAUACCCCCUGAACUUAAGCAUAUCAAUAAGCGGAGGA